RNAcentral lists this long non-coding RNA (450 nucleotides) under Medicago truncatula (barrel medic). Its description in RNAcentral is "long non-coding RNA (MTRU_LNC003905)". The record is from RNAcentral. Lineage: Eukaryota; Viridiplantae; Streptophyta; Magnoliopsida; Fabales; Fabaceae.
ACAGAUUAUCACUCUAGCUUAAAUUUGAGGGUGUCAAAAUUAAAAAAUAUAUCCCUAAAAGUUAUUUAAAAAUAUAGUAUAGUAGGAGUAAAUUUUAAAAAAUUUGAGGGUGCAGCUGGUAUAACAUUGAGCUCAAUGUUGGUAUGUCUCUUCUUGUAGGCCCAUCCAUAAAUUUUUCUUUCCUUUUCCAUAGUUUUGCUUCAACUUGAGAAAUUUGUUUUCCUUCCUCUUUUUGUUUUCUAUUAUGAUUUGAUUAUUCCCUUCUAGAUAGAGUAUCUGUUAGACUUUGUUUGUAUUGGAAAAAUUUUGAAAGAAAAGAAGGUAAAAUAAAAGAAUGUCAAAGGAAUUAAAGCUGCAUGCAUGCAAAUAAAGUUACAUAUAUCUCGUGUGUGUGUCUUCUCAUAAAAAAAAACAUUAGGAAAUGUUAAAUAUCCUCUUUGAAGAGUUAUA